This is a long non-coding RNA of Mirounga angustirostris (Northern elephant seal), 1041 nucleotides long. RefSeq lists it as uncharacterized. NCBI's taxonomy places the organism in Eukaryota, Metazoa, Chordata, Mammalia, Carnivora, Phocidae. The transcript is spliced from 3 exons. The record is from RefSeq and is a predicted model, not a curated record.
AAUAUCUAUUUAUAGCGGUUCCCAAUUGUAGCAGCAAUUAUGUACCACAAAUACAUUUGUAAGUCAGAUGUUCAACCCUGAGGGUGCAUUUUUCUAUAAAAGCAAAGUCAUAAAUGGUGGCAAGUUUCCUGAGCUAGCCUACAUAAGCAGUAGGGCACCUCAAAUAUUGAUCUAUGGAAUCUAACACAUUUUUAGGUUGUGGGUGGGCAGGGGAAGGUAGAACAAGGUUAGCUGUGGGUCUAGGGUAUAAUAUUGAAAACCUCCCGGGAUGUAUUUCUCAGCCCCAAACUGGUUCUCCAGUCUCUUUAUUUUCUCUUUGCCCCCCCCCCAUAGAUUACCUUUCCAACACCCCACCCACUGCCAUCACUUGUUGCUUCUUCUGAUCAAGGUUUCUUCCACUUGCUGACUUACUGAAGAAAAGGAAUGUGAACUAAGAAACAUGGAAGGAAUUUGCCAGGUUGAGUUGGGAGAAGAAGCUGGAAGAGUCACCUUCACGAGAGUUGUGGUCUGUGCAAGCACAAGCAGCUGUCUCCUUGGAGCAGCGAGAUGGUGACCAGCAGUUUCAUGCUUCCCUCGUAACAGCAGAAGAAAUUCUCUUCCCCGCAGUUCAAAUCCAAAUUCCAGAACUGAGUAUAGUGGUGUUUUAGUUCAAUCAAUCACUGUGCCAUUCCUGAGUCACAUGUCUGUCCCCCUAAAACUAGUGGUCAAUUCAUCCCAUCUAAACAAUGUAGACUUAGUGGAGAAGGAGGAGUCACCUGAGGUAAAUAUGGGUUCAGUUACCCAAGUGAGGAAAUGUGGCCAUUUCCCAAGACAUUUUAAAAAUAUUUGUCCUUGGGCGCCUGGGUGGCUCAGUUGGUUAAGCGACUGCCUUCGGCUCAGGUCAUGAUCCUGGAGUCCCUGGAUCGAGUCCCGCAUCAGGCUACCGGCUCAGCAGGGAGUCUGCUUCUCCCUCUCCCACUUCCCCCUCUUGUGCUCUUUCUCUCUCUCACUCUCUCUCUCAAAUAAAUAAAUAAAAUCUUAAAAAAAAAAAUAUUUGUCCUU